Molecule: ribosomal RNA, 421 nt
Filed under: Fusobacteriota bacterium
Lineage: Bacteria; Fusobacteriati; Fusobacteriota
Description: Fusobacteria bacterium partial 16S ribosomal RNA
Rfam family: Bacterial small subunit ribosomal RNA
Source: RNAcentral
UGGGGAAUAUUGCACAAUGGACGGAAGUUUGAUGCAGCGACGCCGCGUGGAGGGUGUAGGCCUUCGGGUUGUGAACUCCUUUUUCUCGCGAAAAAGGCACAGUUUUGGCUGUGUUGUUGGCAGUGGGGGAAGAAGCGCCGGCUAACUACGUGCCAGCAGCCGCGGUAAUACGUAGGGCGCGAGCGUGGUCCGGAUUUAUUGGGCGUAAAGAGCUCGUAGGUGGUUCGUCGCGUCUGUCGUGAAAGCCAGCAGCUUAACUGUUGGUCUGCGGUGGGUACGGGCGGGCUUGAGUGCGGUAGGGGUGACUGGAAUUCCUGGUGGAGCGGUGGAAUGCGCAGAUAUCAGGAGGAACACCGAUGGCGAAGGCAGGUCACUGGGCCGUUACUGACACUGAGGAGCGAAAGCGUGGGGAGCGAACAGG